This 490-nucleotide ribosomal RNA is filed under the name uncultured bacterium. RNAcentral's name for it is "partial 16S ribosomal RNA". It matches the Rfam family "Bacterial small subunit ribosomal RNA", at positions 30 to 507 of the family's 1533-position model. The record is from RNAcentral.
AUUGAACGCUGGCGGCAGGCCUAACACAUGCAAGUCGAAUGGUAACAGGAAACAGCUUGCUGUUUCGCUGACGAGUGGCGGACGGGUGAGUAAUGUCUGGGAAACUGCCUGAUGGAGGGGGAUAACUACUGGAAACGGUAGCUAAUACCGCAUAACGUCGCAAGACCAAAGAGGGGGACCUUCGGGCCUCUUGCCAUCAGAUGUGCCCAGAUGGGAUUAGCUAGUAGGUGGGGUAACGGCUCACCUAGGCGACGAUCCCUAGCUGGUCUGAGAGGAUGACCAGCCACACUGGAACUGAGACACGGUCCAGACUCCUACGGGAGGCAGCAGUGGGGAAUAUUGCACAAUGGGCGCAAGCCUGAUGCAGCCAUGCUGCGUGUAUGAAGAAGGCCUUCGGGUUGUAAAGUACUUUCAGCGGGGAGGAAGGGAGUAAAGUUAAUACCUUUGCUCAUUGACGUUACCCGCAGAAGAAGCACCGGCUAACUCCGUG